This is a long non-coding RNA of Neofelis nebulosa (Clouded leopard), 300 nucleotides long. RefSeq lists it as uncharacterized. The record is from RefSeq and is a predicted model, not a curated record. The transcript is spliced from 2 exons. NCBI's taxonomy places the organism in Eukaryota, Metazoa, Chordata, Mammalia, Carnivora, Felidae.
AGACGAGGGCAGAGCUGGUCCAUUCUAGACAUCACAGUUGAUUAAGGGCCUCGAAGCCCUGGAGGUAAGAAAGACAAAGCAGAAUCAACGUUGGACAAGCAGGCCUCAUGCAGGAGGAAGAAAGGCUUUCCUCGACACCCCAGCAACAGCCCAGCCAAUGAGAGACAAUGACGACCCGACCAAUGAGAAGCCACCAUACUUCCAGCUUCCAGUUUCCUCCAAUGGACUCUUUGUUUCUAACAGCCCUGUGGGCGGUCCUCCUAUCUUCUAUAAAGGGGCUGUCACCUCCUUUGUUCUCCA